CCAGCACCCCGAGUGGUUGGGACGAUUAUUGGGCCUAAAGCAUCCGUAGCCGGUCCUGCAAGUCCUCCGUUAAAUUCACCCGCUCAACGGUUGGGCCGCGGGGGAUACUACAGGGCUAGGAGGCGGGAGAGGCAAGCGGUACUCGAUGGGUAGGGGUAAAAUCCACUGAUCCAUUGAAGACCACCAGUGGCGAAGGCGGCUUGCCAGAACGCGCUCGACGGUGAGGGAUGAAAGCUGGGGGAGCAAACCGGAUUAGAUACCCGGGUAGUCCCAGCUGUAAACGAUGCAGACUCGGUGAUGGGCUGGCUUCGUGCCAACCCGGUGCCGCAGGGAAGCCGUUAAGUCUGCCGCCUGGGGAGUACGGUCGCAAGACUG
RNAcentral lists this ribosomal RNA (375 nucleotides) under uncultured organism. Its description in RNAcentral is "bacterial SSU rRNA". It matches the Rfam family "Archaeal small subunit ribosomal RNA", at positions 476 to 851 of the family's 1478-position model. The record is from RNAcentral.